GCUGGGCGCUGUGGCGUGUGCCUGUAACUGUAGCUACCUGCAGGGCUGAGGUCUGUGGAUGGUUUGAGGUCGGGACUCCUGGGGGGUGCUGCUCUAUGUUGAGCGGACGCCCGCACUAGGUUUGGCAUCAAUAUGGGUAUCGCGGAGGAGUCCGGUGAUGUCCAGGUUGCAUAAUGAGAACCGUAUCGGCCCAGGCCCUAGCGGGAGCAGGCAAAAGGUUCCGUGCUGAGCGGUAGUGGGAUAACGUCUGUGAAUAGGCUUCAUUCACCAGCCCGGCCAAUAUUAAUCAGACCAGAUUUUUU
RNAcentral lists this signal recognition particle RNA (302 nucleotides) under Amphimedon queenslandica. Its description in RNAcentral is "Metazoan signal recognition particle RNA". It matches the Rfam family "Metazoan signal recognition particle RNA". Rfam says of the family: The signal recognition particle (SRP) is a universally conserved ribonucleoprotein. Lineage: Eukaryota; Metazoa; Porifera; Demospongiae; Haplosclerida; Niphatidae. The record is from Rfam by way of RNAcentral.